This 833-nucleotide long non-coding RNA is filed under the name Coffea arabica (coffee). Its description in RNAcentral is "long non-coding RNA (CARA_LNC001247)". The record is from RNAcentral. Lineage: Eukaryota; Viridiplantae; Streptophyta; Magnoliopsida; Gentianales; Rubiaceae.
UGACGCCGAUCCUUCAUUUGUUGGUGUGGAUUGUGAAUCGAUAUCUUCCAUUGUCCAACAUUGGAAAGAAUAUUGAAAAUAUUAAAUAAUUUAAAAAACCUCCUAUAAAUGAAAAUCUAUAGCAAUUAUUACACAUGAAAAUACAUUGCAAAGUUGAAAUUAACAUAGCUAUCAUGAUCUGUACAAAAAAAUAAUCAGCAUGAUUUGUACUUUCGGUCUGGCAUAAACUAAGGCAAGGAACAUCUAUUUCCAGCAAUUCAUUCUAUCAAAUGUUAGUUCCUCCAACAAUGUAACAGUUUGGAUCUCAGCUUUUCUUUACUAGUUUUAGCUAUAAUUUUGAAAUUCACUAAGCUAGAAUUCUGAAAUUUCCUAAUGUUGCGUGUCGCUGAGCUGUUCGGGUCCAUUAACCAUUUCAUUUUGUAUUCAAAUCUAACAAACAUGCUGGAACUUGAAAUGAUUUCUAAUUCUUUCUCUCGGCUGCAACCCAUAUUUCCAGUAGCAGCAGCAGCCUAUGUUCCAGCUAAGUAGGCAAGGGAUAAUCUAUUUAGUUACUGAUUAUCCUUAACAGAACGUGAAAGUUUAUGACCAAGAUUCCAGAGACUAAAUAGAAUUAAAAACAUUUCUGCUCUUAAUUACAAAUCUGAUGCAUAAUGAAUCCCAAAUGCCAAAUCUAAUUAAACACCCCAGCUUCUCAUACACACCCGUAAUAUCCAAAUCCCAAAUGCCCAGCAUAAUGAAUCAAAAAAUUCCAGUCACAGAUCAAUUUUAGCAUAACGAAUUAGCAAUAAUAGCCUUCAGAUUGUAAAAAAUUACCAGAUUUAGCUUCAGUUCAC